RNAcentral lists this ribosomal RNA (253 nucleotides) under uncultured bacterium. RNAcentral's name for it is "partial 16S ribosomal RNA". It matches the Rfam family "Bacterial small subunit ribosomal RNA", at positions 524 to 776 of the family's 1533-position model. The record is from RNAcentral.
UACGUAGGGUGCAAGCGUUAAUCGGAAUUACUGGGCGUAAAGCGUGCGCAGGCGGCUAUGCAAGACAGAUGUGAAAUCCCCGGGCUCAACCUGGGAACUGCAUUUGUGACUGCAUGGCUAGAGUACGGUAGAGGGGGAUGGAAUUCCGCGUGUAGCAGUGAAAUGCGUAGAUAUGCGGAGGAACACCGAUGGCGAAGGCAACCCCCUGGACCUGUACUGACGCUCAUGCACGAAAGCGUGGGGAGCAAACAGG